RNAcentral lists this transfer RNA (74 nucleotides) under bacterium. RNAcentral's name for it is "tRNA-Gln". It matches the Rfam family "tRNA". Rfam says of the family: Transfer RNA (tRNA) molecules are approximately 80 nucleotides in length. The record is from RNAcentral.
UGGGAAGUCGUCUAACGGUAGGACAAUGGGUUCUGGACCCAUUAAUUCUGGUUCGAAUCCAGGCUUCCCAGCCA